GACGAACGCUGGCGGCGUGCCUAAUACAUGCAAGUAGAACGCACAGUUUAUACCGUAGCUUGCUACACCAUAAACUGUGAGUUGUGAACGGGUGAGUAACGCGCAGGUAACCUGCCUGGUAGCGGGGGAUAACUAUUGGAAACGAUAGCUAAUACCGCAUAAUAUUGAUUAUUGCAUGAUAAUUUAUUUAAAGAUGCUAUUGCAUCACUACCAGCUGGACCUGCGUUGUAUUAGCUAGUAGGUGAGGUAACGGCUCACCUAGGCGACGAUACAUAGCCGACCUGAGAGGGUGAUCGGCCACACUGGGACUGAGACACGGCCCAGACUCCUACGGGAGGCAGCAGUAGGGAAUCUUCGGCAAUGGACGAAAGUCUGACCGAGCAACGCCGCGUGAGUGAAGAAGGUUUUCGGAUCGUAAAGCUCUGUUGUAAGAGAAGAACGGGUGUGAGAGUGGAAAGUUCACACUGUGACGGUAUCUUACCAGAAAGGGACGGCUAACUACGUG
This 505-nucleotide ribosomal RNA is filed under the name uncultured bacterium. RNAcentral describes it as "partial 16S ribosomal RNA". It matches the Rfam family "Bacterial small subunit ribosomal RNA", at positions 28 to 507 of the family's 1533-position model. The record is from RNAcentral.